CAGUCGCCGCGGUAAUACGGAGGGUGCAAGCGUUAAUCGGAAUUACUGGGCGUAAAGCGUGCGUAGGCGGUUCGUUAAGUCUGUUGUGAAAGCCCCGGGCUCAACCUGGGAAUGGCAAUGGAUACUGGCGAGCUAGAGUGUGUCAGAGGAUGGUGGAAUUUCCGGUGUAGCAGUGAAAUGCGUAGAGAUCGGAAGGAACAUCUGUGGCGAAGGCGACUAUCUGGGCCAACACUGACACUGAGGCACGAAAGCGUGGGGAGCAAACAGGAUUAGAUACCCCAGUAGUCCCUGUCUCUUAUAC
RNAcentral lists this ribosomal RNA (301 nucleotides) under uncultured bacterium. RNAcentral describes it as "partial 16S ribosomal RNA". It matches the Rfam family "Bacterial small subunit ribosomal RNA", at positions 509 to 807 of the family's 1533-position model. The record is from RNAcentral.